RNAcentral lists this ribosomal RNA (253 nucleotides) under uncultured bacterium. RNAcentral's name for it is "partial 16S ribosomal RNA". It matches the Rfam family "Bacterial small subunit ribosomal RNA", at positions 524 to 776 of the family's 1533-position model. The record is from RNAcentral.
UACGUAGGGUGCGAGCGUUAAUCGGAAUUACUGGGCGUAAAGCGUGCGCAGGCGGUUCGUGAUGUCUGAUGUGAAAGCCCCGGGCUCAACCGGGGAAUUGCAUUGGAAACUAGCGGGCUGGAGUGUGGCAGAGGGGGGUGGAAUUCCACGUGUAGCAGUGAAAUGCGUAGAGAUGUGGAGGAACACCAGUGGCGAAGGCGACUCUUUGGCCUGUAACUGACGCUGAGGCGCGAAAGCGUGGGGAGCAAACAGG